Molecule: ribosomal RNA, 587 nt
Filed under: Sclerotinia sclerotiorum
Lineage: Eukaryota; Fungi; Ascomycota; Leotiomycetes; Helotiales; Sclerotiniaceae
Description: eukaryotic LSU rRNA
Rfam family: Eukaryotic large subunit ribosomal RNA
Source: RNAcentral
UUGACCUCGGAUCAGGUAGGGAUACCCGCUGAACUUAAGCAUAUCAAUAAGCGGAGGAAAAGAAACCAACAGGGAUUACCUCAGUAACGGCGAGUGAAGCGGUAAAAGCUCAAAUUUGAAAUCUGGCUCUUUCAGAGUCCGAGUUGUAAUUUGUAGAAGAUGCUUCGGGUGUGGUUCCGGUCUAAGUUCCUUGGAACAGGACGUCAUAGAGGGUGAGAAUCCCGUAUGUGACUGGAUACCUAUGCUCAUGUGAAGCUCUUUCGACGAGUCGAGUUGUUUGGGAAUGCAGCUCAAAAUGGGUGGUAUAUUUCAUCUAAAGCUAAAUAUUGGCCAGAGACCGAUAGCGCACAAGUAGAGUGAUCGAAAGAUGAAAAGCACUUUGGAAAGAGAGUUAAACAGUACGUGAAAUUGUUGAAAGGGAAGCGCUUGCAAUCAGACUUGCACUUGGUGUUCAUCAGGGUUUCGUGCCCUGUGUACUUCAUCAAGUUCAGGCCAGCAUCAGUUUGAGUGGUUAGAUAAAGGCUUGGAGAAUGUGGCCCUCUUCGGGGGGUGUUAUAGCUCCAGGUGCAAUGUAGCCUACUUGGACU